Humulus lupulus (European hop) is the source of this 107-nucleotide small nucleolar RNA. Lineage: Eukaryota; Viridiplantae; Streptophyta; Magnoliopsida; Rosales; Cannabaceae. The record is from RefSeq and is a predicted model, not a curated record.
AUACCAUGAUGAGGGAAAUUCCUUAAUAGCUUUUUAAAUCUCUCACAUGCAUCAUACAAAAAUUCCCCUUCCGUCUGGUAGAAAUUAUUAAUUUCCUCUCUCAACUU